CACAACACCCGCGGGCCCGCCGGCUGGAGAAGGAGAAGAAUUAGGACUCCCCCACCCCCACCGGAGCCCCCCUCCCGGCCGGCUCCGGGGUCAGGGGAGGGAGGGAGCGAAGAAGGAGCAGGAACACCCGCCCAAGGCAGCUCCGAACUAUUUGCAGACGAACUGUCAAAGAAGACAGGCCACAGCGCUGGCUCGGCCCUCUGGACUUUGCCACUAACUUUCCUUUGCUGAUCCCCAGCCCUCCCCCUCGAACCCUCUGGCUGGGCUUGAAAUCAGCCCCUUCUUAGUCUCCAGCUCUCUCACCAUGUCUCCGAGCGGCUGGGGCCUGGCGGCAGCAGAACUCGCCUAAGUCGGUUUCCUCCCGGGCGGCCGUCGGUUCACUUCCUGCUUGUCCAACUUUCAGCCCGCCCCCGCCCACCUCGCAUCCCGAGCCGCUCCGGCCACACCUCGCGCAGGUUCCCCAGAGUUCAACAGUCCUGCAUGUACGUCUCUUCAGGAGCCACCAUGUGGGUUGGUGAGCCCUGUCAGAAACAGUCAGACGACUGCCCUAUGGAGCAGGAAAAGGGGCCCAGGGCAAAGGAUUUUUCCACCAACCUGGCUCCAGGCCAGAGAAAAUCCACUCUUCCUGGAUGGUGUUUAUCAAGACAGAAGAACAAUAACAGGGACGUGCAGAAGGGAACAAACAUUCCUGUCCCAUCCCAGAAGAGGUAACAGUUCCAAGAGGGAAAUGUUAGUUUCUCUGACAAAUGCUUUUUUAAAGAGUCUCAUACAUUUUGGACCUCUGGAGCAUUUUGAGACCCUUAAUUUUAAUUUAUAAUGAAACCUUCUUCCAAUUAGAUAAGAUUAUUAUCUUCUGCAGCUCUGAAAUUUGGUGCAUAGUAACAGCCUGCUUUCAGAGAAUGUGGCUCCUGGACUCCUCAGCAUCCUUAGAAAGGCUACAAUGUGGCCAAGAAGAGGGAGAUCAGAACCUUUGAUCUGUACUUGCUGCUGUCUAGUACAGUAGCCUUGGACCACAAGUGGCUGUUGAACAUUUGAAAUGUGGCUAGUCUGAACUCUGAUGAGAUUUAAGAGUAAAUGAAACACACACACGGAUUUCAGGUGUUCCCUUUGUGGUGCAAUGGAAACAAAUCCAACUAGGAACCAUGAGGUUGCGGGUUCAAUCCCUGGCCUUGCUCAGUGGAUUAAGGAUCCGGCAUUACCGUUAGCUGUGGUAUAGGUUGCAGAUGCGGCUCGGAUCCCGCAUUGCUGUGUCCGUGGCACAGACUGGCAGCUGUAUUUCCAAUUAGACCCCUAGGCUGGGAACCUCCAUAUGCCAUGAAUGUGGCCCUAAAAACAAAACAAACAAAAAACCCCCACAGAUUUCAAAGACUUAUUAUGAGAGAAUACCUGUAAAUCUCAGUAAUUUUAUAUGUUAAUGAUAAGUUGAAACAAUGUUUUGGAUAUAUUGAGUUAAAAAUAUAUAUAACUGUUAAAGGGAGUUCCCGUCAUGGCUCAGUGGUUAAUGAAUCUGGCUAGGAACCAUGAGGUUGCAGGUUCGAUCCCUGGCCUCACUCGGUGGGUCAAGGAUCCGGUAUUGCCGUGGGCUGUGGUGUGGGUCGCAGACAUGGCUCAGAUCCUGCGUUGCUGUGGUUCUGA
This 1635-nucleotide long non-coding RNA is filed under the name Sus scrofa (pig). Its description in RNAcentral is "lncRNA (ENSSSCG00040010690.1)". Lineage: Eukaryota; Metazoa; Chordata; Mammalia; Artiodactyla; Suidae. The record is from RNAcentral.